This 247-nucleotide unclassified non-coding RNA is filed under the name uncultured fungus. Its description in RNAcentral is "partial contains 5.8S ribosomal RNA, internal transcribed spacer 2, and large subunit ribosomal RNA". The stretch from base 1 to 52 matches the Rfam family "5.8S ribosomal RNA", at positions 103 to 154 of the family's 154-position model. The record is from RNAcentral. Lineage: Eukaryota; Fungi.
AACGCACAUUGCGCCCGCUAGUAUUCUAGCGGGCAUGCCUGUUCGAGCGUCAUUUCAACCCUCAAGCCCUGCUUGGUGUUGGGGCCCUACGGCUGCCGUAGGCCCUGAAAAGAAGUGGCGGGCUCGCUAUAACUCCGAGCGUAGUAGAAAUAUCUCGCUAGGGAAGUGUGGCGUGCUCCUGCCGUUAAAGACCCCUCUUUAACACAAGGUUGACCUCGGAUCAGGUAGGAAUACCCGCUGAACUUAA